This 492-nucleotide ribosomal RNA is filed under the name uncultured bacterium. Its description in RNAcentral is "bacterial SSU rRNA". It matches the Rfam family "Bacterial small subunit ribosomal RNA", at positions 28 to 506 of the family's 1533-position model. The record is from RNAcentral.
GAUGAACGCCAGCUACAGGCUUAACACAUGCAAGUCGAGGGGCAGCAUGAACUUAGCUUGCUAAGUUUGAUGGCGACCGGCGCACGGGUGCGUAACGCGUAUCCAACCUUCCCGUUACUCAGGUAUAGCCUUGCGAAAGUAAGAUUAAUCCCUGAUGAUAUAUGUUUACUGCAUGGUGAAUAUAUUAAAGAUUUAUCGGUAACGGAUGGGGAUGCGUUCCAUUAGGUAGUUGGUGAGGUAACGGCUCACCAAGCCUGCGAUGGAUAGGGGUUCUGAGAGGAAGGUCCCCCACACUGGAACUGAGACACGGUCCAGACUCCUACGGGAGGCAGCAGUGAGGAAUAUUGGUCAAUGGUCGGAAGACUGAACCAGCCAAGUAGCGUGAGGGAUGACUGCCCUAUGGGUUGUAAACCUCUUUUAUAUGGGAAUAAAAAGACAAUUACGUGUAGUGUUUUGCAUGUACCGUUAUGAAUAAGCAUCGGCUAAUUCCGU